GUGACCCUACUGUGUGCGUGUAAUGCCGAUAUGUUUUGAGCCAACACUUCAACAUUGGGAGCCUGGGCUCUGUUUAUGGCGUGUAGGCCCUUUAUGGGAAACCCAUGAGUAAACAGGAGGGCACCCACCUGCCGAGGCAGGUUCAAAACAACGACAGAACGGCAUAGCGGGGAGUGU
Molecule: non-coding RNA, 177 nt
Filed under: Sporomusaceae bacterium
Lineage: Bacteria; Bacillati; Bacillota; Negativicutes; Selenomonadales; Sporomusaceae
Also listed under: 1 other name
Description: 6S / SsrS RNA
Rfam family: 6S / SsrS RNA
About the family: E. coli 6S RNA was the first non coding RNA to be sequenced, but its function was unknown until recently.
Source: Rfam by way of RNAcentral